Molecule: small nucleolar RNA, 139 nt
Organism: Lethenteron reissneri (Far Eastern brook lamprey)
Lineage: Eukaryota; Metazoa; Chordata; Hyperoartia; Petromyzontiformes; Petromyzontidae
Product: small nucleolar RNA SNORA84
Source: RefSeq, a predicted model, not a curated record
GCCUUGUGGUUGCCGGGCUCCUCUGCCUGUGUGGAGACUUACGGUUUAUUUUAACAAUGGCACAGAGUAACAUUCUGGGGCAUAAGCGUGGCGUUUGUUGCAACGGUACAGACUUCACAGCCCGGUCCCAGAUACACAC